Molecule: ribosomal RNA, 138 nt
Filed under: Castor canadensis (American beaver)
Lineage: Eukaryota; Metazoa; Chordata; Mammalia; Rodentia; Castoridae
Source: RNAcentral
GUCUAUGGCCAUACCACCCUGAGCGCGCCCGAUCUCGUCUGAUCUCGGAAGCUAAGCAGGGUCGGGCCUGGUUAGUACUUGGAUGGGAGAAAUCUUACACCAGCAGAAACCACCACAAGAAAGGGACUAAGGUAGGCU